Non-coding RNA from Salmo salar (Atlantic salmon), 69 nucleotides. NCBI's taxonomy places the organism in Eukaryota, Metazoa, Chordata, Actinopteri, Salmoniformes, Salmonidae. The record is from Rfam.
UGGCUCAGUUGGUAGAGCAUGGUGUUUGCAUGGUGUUUGCAACGCCAGGGUUGUGGGUUCGAUUCCCAC